RNAcentral lists this transfer RNA (87 nucleotides) under Tissierellia bacterium. Its description in RNAcentral is "tRNA-Leu". It matches the Rfam family "tRNA". Rfam says of the family: Transfer RNA (tRNA) molecules are approximately 80 nucleotides in length. Their secondary structure includes four short double-helical elements and three loops (D, anti-codon, and T loops). The record is from RNAcentral. Lineage: Bacteria; Bacillati; Bacillota; Tissierellia.
GCCGGAGUGAUGGAACUGGCAGACGUGUUGGAUUCAAAAUCCAAUGAUGGUAACAUCGUGUGGGUUCGAGUCCCACCUCCGGCACCA